AGUGCCAACAUCAAGACAUCAUGAAUUUAAGGCUAUGAUAACUUACCUACAAUAGUUAUGUGGUGAGUAGAGUCGGACUGCGCAUUGAGUAGUCCAUCCAUGGUCAUUAUUUGACAAUGGCCAAGGACCUUAUGAGUUCAAGAUGACCAUGCAUGAGGAACUGCAGGUGGAUUUGAUCCAACAAUCCCUUAAUGGUUCGUUUAGUCAGUUUAGAGUAAACUACCAUAUGAACAAGUAUGAUAGUGUA
RNAcentral lists this long non-coding RNA (247 nucleotides) under Elaeis guineensis (African oil palm). RNAcentral describes it as "long non-coding RNA (EGUI_LNC064288)". Lineage: Eukaryota; Viridiplantae; Streptophyta; Magnoliopsida; Arecales; Arecaceae. The record is from RNAcentral.